Molecule: long non-coding RNA, 262 nt
Filed under: Vitis vinifera (wine grape)
Lineage: Eukaryota; Viridiplantae; Streptophyta; Magnoliopsida; Vitales; Vitaceae
Description: long non-coding RNA (VVIN_LNC005320)
Source: RNAcentral
AUUUGCAGACAUGAAUAACCAGUAACCAGAAGUUCCAAGCGAGCAUUCUUUGACCCCAUCAUCCUGUGCAACCAACACUUCACCUCCUUUUUUCAAUUUUAUAUCUUUCCUGUUCAUGCUCUGAAAGAAUUUCCAUUCAUCUUCUAGAACUUCUCAUAGUUAGAUAACUUUUUUCAUGCACAAAGACCCAUUGUGCCUCAAAUCAACCCAACAAAAAUACAGGAACCAAAGAGAAAAGGAAAAAACAGUUAACAUAAACAAA